UACGUAGGGGGCGAGCGUUGUCCGGAUUUAUUGGGCGUAAAGAGCGUGUAGGCGGCCAGGUAGGUCUGCUGUGAAAACUCGAGGCUUAACCUCGAGAUGUCGGCGGAAACCAUCUGGCUAGAGUCCGGAAGAGGAGAGUGGAAUUCCUGGUGUAGCGGUGAAAUGCGCAGAUAUCAGGAAGAACACCCGUGGCGAAGGCGGCUCUCUGGGACGGUACUGACGCUGAGACGCGAAAGCGUGGGGAGCGAACAGG
Molecule: ribosomal RNA, 253 nt
Filed under: uncultured bacterium
Lineage: Bacteria
Description: partial 16S ribosomal RNA
Rfam family: Bacterial small subunit ribosomal RNA
Source: RNAcentral